Long non-coding RNA from Thalassophryne amazonica, 270 nucleotides. RefSeq lists it as uncharacterized. The record is from RefSeq and is a predicted model, not a curated record. Lineage: Eukaryota; Metazoa; Chordata; Actinopteri; Batrachoidiformes; Batrachoididae. The transcript is spliced from 4 exons.
CACAAGCCAUUUAUAAAAAAUGUAGAUGUUGGUCUAUAUAGACGUGAUGGCAUCACGCAGUCUUCCAUUCAACCAGUCUGUCCAUUCUCCUCUGACAUCAACAAAGCAUUUUCAUCCACACAACUGUCACUCACUGGACAUCUUCUCUUUUUUGGACCAUUCUCUCUAAACCCUAGAAAUGGUUGUGGGUGAAAAUCCCAGGAGAUCAGGAGUUUCUGAAAUAUUCAGAUCAGCCCGUCUGGCACCAUCAACCACACCACGUUCAAAGUC